UACGUAGGGUGCGAGCGUUGUCCGGAAUUAUUGGGCGUAAAGAGCUCGUAGGCGGUCUGUCGCGUCGAUCGUGAAAACUUGGGGCUUAACCCUGAGCUUGCGGUCGAUACGGGCAUGACUGGAGUUCGGCAGGGGAGACUGGAAUUCCUGGUGUAGCGGUGAAAUGCGCAGAUAUCAGGAGGAACACCGGUGGCGAAGGCGGUUCUCUGGGAAUGUCCUGACGCUGAGGAGCGAAAGUGUGGGGAGCGAACAGG
This 254-nucleotide ribosomal RNA is filed under the name uncultured bacterium. Its description in RNAcentral is "partial 16S ribosomal RNA". It matches the Rfam family "Bacterial small subunit ribosomal RNA", at positions 524 to 776 of the family's 1533-position model. The record is from RNAcentral.